This 473-nucleotide ribosomal RNA is filed under the name uncultured bacterium. Its description in RNAcentral is "bacterial SSU rRNA". It matches the Rfam family "Bacterial small subunit ribosomal RNA", at positions 355 to 825 of the family's 1533-position model. The record is from RNAcentral.
UCGGGAAUUUUGGGCAAUGGGCGAAAGCCUGACCCAGCAACGCCGCGUGUGGGAUGAAGGCCCUCGGGUCGUAAACCACUGUCAGGAGGAAAGAAAAGUCGGCCGGAUAAUACUCGGUCGACCUGACGGUACCUCCAAAGGAAGCACCGGCUAACUCCGUGCCAGCAGCCGCGGUAAUACGGAGGGUGCAAGCGUUGUUCGGAAUUACUGGGCGUAAAGGGCUCGUAGGCGGCCAACUAAGUCAGACGUGAAAUCCCUCGGCUUAACCGGGGAACUGCGUCUGAUACUGGAUGGCUUGAGGUUGGGAGAGGGAUGCGGAAUUCCAGGUGUAGCGGUGAAAUGCGUAGAUAUCAGGAGGAACACCCGUGGCGAAGGCGGAUCUCUGGACCGGUUCUGACGCUGAGGAGCGAAAGCUAGGGGAGCAAACAGGAUUAGAUACCCCCGUAGUCCCUGAGCGGGCUGGCAAGGCGCAU